This 253-nucleotide ribosomal RNA is filed under the name uncultured bacterium. Its description in RNAcentral is "partial 16S ribosomal RNA". It matches the Rfam family "Bacterial small subunit ribosomal RNA", at positions 524 to 776 of the family's 1533-position model. The record is from RNAcentral.
UACAGGGGGGGCAAGCGUUGUUCGGAAUUACUGGGCGUAAAGGGUCUGUAGGUGGCCAACUAAGUCGGACGUGAAAUCCCUCAGCUUAACUGGGGAACUGCGUCUGAUACUGGAUGGCUCGAGUGUGGGAGAGGAAUGCGGAAUUCCAGGUGUAGCGGUGGAAUGCGUAGAGAUCUGGAAGAACACCGGUGGCGAAGGCGGUGGUCUGGGCCGUGACUGACGCUGAGGAGCGAAAGCCAGGGGAGCAAACGGG